UGCUCAGGAGAGAGAACACACAGGUUCAUCCAACCCUGCUUGGUCUUAACGCUUCCCUUCAGAAUGGGGCCACGCGUAAUCCAGAGUGCAGGGCAUCAGCCUAUAGAGGGCGCUCUUAAGCAUCAUAGCCAGAUGUAAAAAAGCAAAAUUCCUGUGUUUGCUUAAAGAGGAAACAUCUUUAAGAAGUGAAAGCUGAAGAAUGGGGCCUAAGAUCAAACUUCAAGGUAUUGGCGGCUCUAAAUACCUGCCAUCAAAGUAACGCAACAGAAUGAUAAUUUGGAGAGAGGUAGACAAAGACAUAUGACAGCAUGUGAAGAUGAAGGCAGAGAUCCACAAGCCAAGGAACAACAAAGAUUGCCAGUAAACCACCAAGAGCUAGGGGAGAGGUCUACAAGAGAUUCUCCCUCACCUCCCUCAGAAGAACCCAUCCUGCCAACGCCUUGACCUUGGACUUCUAGCCUCCACAACUGUGAUGCAAACCAUGUCUGGUGUGACAACAAUUUGAAAAGCGCCACCCAUCCUCUCUGAGACCACAAACAGCACCGGAGGCAGUGAACCAAGACUUACAAACAAGGGUGUAGACCAAAGAACACGCGGGGCCAGAGGAGGAGAAAGCAAGAAGAUAGAAGCACCAUAGUUUGAAGAGGGAGGGGAGCAGAAAGCCGCUAGCUCUAUAAAAAACAAGAAGCAAAACCCAGAACUCAAACCUCAUGAAAGUAUCACGAGGUUGAAGCCUUUAAGAGGUGUUUUUACAGCAGAUUUUAGAGACUUCUCACCUUACCAACGGUUAUAAACCCGAAUCCUUGCAAAGUCAGCAGUAGAGUCAUUAGAUUGCUCCCCGUCUACGCAUAUGAAGGGUAUCAGGGCUUUCCAGGACUUUAGGGUCAGGUUUUGUGAAAUAGGUAGGUUGGGCCAACUUUCUGGGGGCUCUAAGCAACCUUGGAGAAAACGGGCAGGAGUAAAUAAAGGUAUGCCAGUGUGCUUUUUCCAGGGGGGACUUGGCAAGUGCCAAAAACAGUAUAAAUAUUAGAUUCCCAUCUUCUAAUAUGGAAAUCGGUGGUGGCGAUGGGGCGAAGGGCUCACUAGCCACCCUGAGGCGAAGAAGCAGCCCCUCAGAGAUCCAAAGCUGGUUAGCAAGAGUUCACCAGGGCCUAGCUCCUUGUCCCUCAGGGAAAGCCCCUGGGUGCCACAGCCCACCCCCUGGAAAGGGCAGACCCUGGAGAAAUGUUAGAAUUCUGGGUGAAUUAUUUUCUUACGAGAUUUCAUCCAAAGUUUUAACAAAGUACCAAAUAGGAGAGUUGUUAAGUAUUGUGAGUGAGUGAGGUGGAGGAAGCAGAGCGGGGAAGGGGUGGCUCCUCUCUCACUAUAUUCACUGCUUAUCCUAGAGAUGACCUAAUGUCAAAAACAUUGCAAAUGCAACCAGCUGCCUGUUGCAUCCACGUAGUUCAGUUGUUGCUAUUUACAGGGCAGUAAAAAUACCUGGUGCUACUAUGAACCAGGGUGCUGAGUAUCCAGUGUUCCUGGAAGAGCACCUAGUAGUGUUUCUUUCAUUGGAUGGUAUCUAAUUAAAACUUUAUGCAAAAGUAAUAAGGUAUUGCUGAUUAUAGGUAUUAUCUGAUAAUAAUUAUUAUCAGAUAAUAUAUUAUAAAAAUAUAUUGUUAUCUGAUAAUAAUAAUCCUGUCAAGUACUUGUUUGGGCCAGAUUACUCUGUGAAGGCAGAAAGUUGGCAAUGCUUAUCUUAAAUGGAAGAUUCUUUCUCUUUUCUUCCUCCCUCACUCCCUCCUAUUCAACAAUCUUUUCUUCAUCCUGGGAAAAAUGUGGGUUCUGCAUUCACUCUUGCACAAUCCUGGAAUCUCAUGGCUUAGCUUAUGAUGACAACAUUAAUGUCAAUAAAGGCACAUUUUCCCUAAGA
Molecule: non-coding RNA, 1912 nt
Organism: Macaca mulatta (Rhesus monkey)
Lineage: Eukaryota; Metazoa; Chordata; Mammalia; Primates; Cercopithecidae
Source: RefSeq, a predicted model, not a curated record